Long non-coding RNA from Pipistrellus kuhlii (Kuhl's pipistrelle), 933 nucleotides. RefSeq lists it as uncharacterized. The transcript has 2 exons. The record is from RefSeq and is a predicted model, not a curated record. Lineage: Eukaryota; Metazoa; Chordata; Mammalia; Chiroptera; Vespertilionidae.
CCCUGUCUUGAUUGUCUUUCGUGUCCAGCCUCCAGGACCUGCCUUCCUGCCGUCAGGGUCUGAAAUCCAGGAGCAAGUGAAUGGGUAUCACUGUAUGCUCCAUGUGCUCCAUGUCUUUCUAUUUGAUGCUCCUGACAACACUGUGAAUGAAAUGUGCGGAUGAGGAAAUAGACUCUGGAGUUGUUAGUAGGAUUCAGGCCAGCUCUUUCUAACUCCAAGGUUUUAAUCGUUCAAGUUCAUUCCAAUACAAAUCGCCCUGGCUACUAGCGCCCUGUCCUAGGCUGAGCACAGCCAGAAACAGAGAGAGAGAGAGAGAGAGAGAGAGAGAGAGAGAGAGAGAGAGAGAGAGAGAGAGAGAGGAGAAACAUUGAUUGGUUGCCUCCCAUAUGUGUCCCGAUCGGAUGGAACCUACAACUAAGUAUGUUCCCUGACUAGGAAUCGAACCUGCAACUGUUUGGGGUUACUGGAUGACGCUCCAACCAACCAAGCCACCCAGCCAGGGUGGAAAUUGGUUUCUUUUCUAAGAAAUAAAGUGGUCUCUGGCGUUUGGACUAGUGGGCCACCAUUUUGCUGAUUUUUUUGUUCUUAAAAGGCAGUAGAGGAAGGCUCCCUCCUCAUUCAACCACACUUGUCAUACCCCCUUCCCCCCUGCGUGGCUGUUAACCUGUCUUCAGGUCUCUUGCCUCCUGAACAUAAUUAAACUCUGUUGUUAAACGAGGAACAUCUUGGAGGCUGGAGGCUUUGGCCUCUGACAAUCACUGUGAUGAUGCUGGAGAAGCGGGUUUCCCCAGCCCGGCUCCACCUGGGCAGAAAUAGAAGGUGCAAAUUUAGCCUAGCCAGGCCUCUGAGCGAAGCCAGUUUGAUUGAUGUCUGGGAACCAAAAUGACACCUCCUUUGAACUAAAUGGAUGCUAAUAAAAUGGAGUUCGCAACC